RNAcentral lists this ribosomal RNA (253 nucleotides) under uncultured bacterium. RNAcentral describes it as "partial 16S ribosomal RNA". It matches the Rfam family "Bacterial small subunit ribosomal RNA", at positions 524 to 776 of the family's 1533-position model. The record is from RNAcentral.
UACGGGGGGGGCAAGCGUUGUUCGGAAUUACUGGGCGUAAAGGGCUCGUAGGCGGCCAACUAAGUCGGAUGUGAAAUCCCCAGGCUCAACUUGGGAACUGCAUCCGAUACUGGAUGGCUUGAAUUCGGGAGAGGGAUGCAGAAUUCCAGGUGUAGCGGUGAAAUGCGUAGAUAUCUGGAGGAACACCGAUGGCGAAGGCAGGUCUCUGGGCAUUAACUGACGCUGAGGAGCGAAAGCGUGGGGAGCAAACAGG